ACCCGCUGAACUUAAGCAUAUCAAUAAGCGGAGGAAAAGAAACCAACAGGGAUUGCCCUAGUAACGGCGAGUGAAGCGGCAACAGCUCAAAUUUGAAAUCUGGCGUCUUUGGCGUCCGAGUUGUAAUUUGCAGAGGGCGCUUUGGCAUUGGCAGCGGUCCAAGUUCCUUGGAACAGGACGUCACAGAGGGUGAGAAUCCCGUACGUGGUCGCUAGCCUUUACCGUGUAAAGCCCCUUCGACGAGUCGAGUUGUUUGGGAAUGCAGCUCUAAAUGGGAGGUAAAUUUCUUCUAAAGCUAAAUACUGGCCAGAGACCGAUAGCGCACAAGUAGAGUGAUCGAAAGAUGAAAAGCACUUUGGAAAGAGAGUUAAAAAGCACGUGAAAUUGUUGAAAGGGAAGCGCUUGCAGCCAGACUUGCCUGUAGUUGCUCAUCCGGGUUUUUACCCGGUGCACUCUUCUAUAGGCCGGCCAGCAUCAGUUUGGGCGGUUGGAUAAAGGUCUCUGUCAUGUACCUCUCUUCGGGGAGAACUUAUAGGGGAGACGACAUGCAACCAGCCCGGACUGAGGUCCGCGCAUCUGCUAGGAUGCUGGCGUAAUGGCUGU
RNAcentral lists this ribosomal RNA (603 nucleotides) under uncultured fungus. RNAcentral describes it as "eukaryotic LSU rRNA". It matches the Rfam family "Eukaryotic large subunit ribosomal RNA", at positions 23 to 641 of the family's 3401-position model. Lineage: Eukaryota; Fungi. The record is from RNAcentral.